GCCAGUAUGGUGUAGUGGUUUGAGCACUGGAUUAUGACUCCAGAGACCAUGGUUUGAAUCCUGGCUCAUCCA
Phrynosoma platyrhinos (Desert horned lizard) is the source of this 72-nucleotide non-coding RNA. NCBI's taxonomy places the organism in Eukaryota, Metazoa, Chordata, Lepidosauria, Squamata, Phrynosomatidae. The record is from the annotation of a GenBank genome assembly.